Molecule: ribosomal RNA, 497 nt
Filed under: uncultured bacterium
Lineage: Bacteria
Description: partial 16S ribosomal RNA
Rfam family: Bacterial small subunit ribosomal RNA
Source: RNAcentral
GAUGAACGCUGGCGGCGUGCCUAAUACAUGCAAGUCGAGCGAACGGACGAGAAGCUUGCGUCUCUGACGUUAGCGGCGGACGGGUGAGUAACACGUGGAUAACCUCCCUAUCAGACUGGGAUAACCUCGGGAAACCGGAGCUAAUACCGGAUAAUAUUUUGAACCGCAUGGUUCAAAAGUGAAAGACGGUCUUGCUGUCACUUAUAGAUGCAUCCGCGCUGCUUUAGCUAGUUGGUAAGGUAACGGCUUACCAAGGCAACGAUGCAUAGCCGACCUGAGAGGGUGAUCGGCCACACUGGAGCUGGGCCACGGUCCAGACUCCUGCGGGAGGCAGCAGUAGGGAAUCUUCCGCAAUGGGCGAAAGCCUGACGGAGCGACGCCGCGUGAGUGAUGAAGGUCUUCGGAUCGUAAAGCUCUGUUAUUAGGGAAGAACAUAUGUGUAAGUAACUGUGCACAUCUUGACGGUACCUAAUCAGAAAGCCACGGCUAACUACGUG